RNAcentral lists this ribosomal RNA (149 nucleotides) under uncultured eukaryote. RNAcentral's name for it is "partial small subunit ribosomal RNA". It matches the Rfam family "Eukaryotic small subunit ribosomal RNA", at positions 1296 to 1461 of the family's 1831-position model. The record is from RNAcentral.
AGUUGGUGGAGUGAUUUGUCUGGUUUAUUCCGUUAACGAACGAGACCUCGGCCUGCUAAUUAGUCGGCCCUACACUUUGUGUAGGAUUGUCGCACUUCUUAGAGGGACUAUCGGUGUGUAGCCGAUGGAAGUUCGAGGCAAUAACAGGU